RNAcentral lists this unclassified non-coding RNA (278 nucleotides) under Hevea brasiliensis (rubber tree). The record is from RNAcentral. Lineage: Eukaryota; Viridiplantae; Streptophyta; Magnoliopsida; Malpighiales; Euphorbiaceae.
GAAAUGUUAGGGAAAAACUUAUUCUUUAUAAAAAAAAUUGUUAUAAAAUUAAGGACUUGUAAUUAAUUGCAAGUUUUUAUGUACAUAGAGAGAAUAAAGAAAUAUAACAAAUGUAGUACCUGUAAUUAAAAAAUGAUGAUUUUACCCUAUCCUUAAUGGGUCCAUAAAUAAUCAUUUAUUUUGUUUCCUUAAUUUAGGAUCUCUAACUAUUGCAGUUUGAAACAGAUUUAUUGCUUUUCAGUAUGUUUUUUAGAAAGCAGUAUCAUAUUUGAUACUUU